RNAcentral lists this unclassified non-coding RNA (942 nucleotides) under Hevea brasiliensis (rubber tree). The record is from RNAcentral. Lineage: Eukaryota; Viridiplantae; Streptophyta; Magnoliopsida; Malpighiales; Euphorbiaceae.
AUAAGCCAUGUCGGGUCUUCCCCAUGGUCCGUAAACAGUAAAAAACCUCAACCCGGUUAUUGAUAACCCGUAAAUGUGAUUAUAAGUAUGUGUAAUUUCUUCACCAGCUUUCUUCGUUGCUGCAUAUAACGAAGCGGGUUGAUCCGUUCGAUCCGAUUCGGAAAACGGUACCUUUUCGUUUAACCCGUAAACUGAGCUCGAGCUUGCCCAAACAAUGGCGGGUUGAGGAUUUGCAUUUUUACAAGCUUCGAGAAGAGUAACAAGCCCAGCGAUAUUACUAUGAACAUAAGAUUUGGGAUUUUCCAUGGCGUAACGAACACCGGCCUGUGCAGCUAAAUGCAUUACAUGCGUAAACGCUACGAUAUCGAAUAGCUUUGAUAUCAGAUGCACAUCGUUAAUAUCUCCUUCAAUGAGGUAAACAUUUUGCAAAUUCAACAGAUCUUUUCGAGCUUUUUUCAACGAAGGGUCAUAGUAAUUGUUGAAAUUAUCAAUUCCGACGACACCGUCUCCACGUUUUUUCAACGCGAUUGAAACGUGAGAUCCGACGAAACCGGCGGCACCGGUGACGAGUACGGACAUGCCGUUAACACGGUGGAUUUGGGCGGAAUCACGAACUUGUUUCUCCCAAUGAAGACUACCCCAUGUGGAGGAGAGAUACCGGGUACCGGAAUUUAUGAAGGAUUGAAAACUCAAAUACGACGCCGUUAAAGCUAAUAAAAACAAUGCCCAUAAAAACAUUGUACUCGUUGAAGCGAAACACCGGUGGAAUUGCCGGUUGCCGGAGUAAUACGUUUUGUCUUUGAAUUUUCCUGGUGUUGAUGGAAUAAAUUCUUCUUCUAAUCCUCUCAUUUUAAUUUUUUUUUCUCAAAUCGAAGAAAAUAAUUUUUUCCUCUUUCGAAAUAAGAUAGAACAAAUUGUUAAAAUAUUUAGAUGUUGUUGAUA